CCCCCCGGCCCUUGUUUAUCAAAAACAUGUCUUUUUAGAAUUUAAUAUAAAGUCUGACCUGCCCACUGAAAAUAUUUUGAAGGGCCGCAGUAUUUUGACUGUGCAAAGGUAGCAUAAUCAUUAGUCUUUUAAUUGAAGGCUGGUAUGAAUGGUUGGAUGAGGUACAUGCUGUGUCAUAAAAAUUAAUAAUUGAAUUUACCUUUUUAGUCAAAAGGCUAAAAUUUUUUUAAAAGACGAGAAGACCCUAUAGAGCUUUAUAUAACUAAUAUUUAAUUUAUUUAGAUUUUUAAAAUUUAAUUGUUAAGUUGUAUUUUGUUGGGGUGACAAUAAAAUUUAUAAAACUUUUAUUUUUAUUUAACAUUAAUUUAUGAUUAAAUGAUCCAGUUUUAUUGAUUAUAAAAUUAAGUUACCUUAGGGAUAACAGCGUAAUUUUUUUUGAGAGUUCUUAUCGACAAAAAAGAUUGCGACCUCGAUGUUGGAUUAAGAGUAAUUUUGGGUGUAGAAGUUCAAAGUUUAAGUCUGUUCGACUUUUAAAUUCUUACAUGAUCUG
Molecule: ribosomal RNA, 550 nt
Filed under: Simulium arabicum
Lineage: Eukaryota; Metazoa; Arthropoda; Insecta; Diptera; Simuliidae
Description: partial 16S ribosomal RNA
Rfam family: Bacterial large subunit ribosomal RNA
Source: RNAcentral